CAAAUCUUUCCUUCCGCCAUGACGAGUUUUUCUUUCCCUACGUCUCAUGUAUGUACUGGAGUGCCUUCUAGUAUCUGAAGCUGUAUUCAUUCUUCAGAGCGUAUGCUUCCAGCUUAAAUUCCUAACUUUAAAGUGCCAAGGAGUCUACAACCAUCAAGUGCCACAUUUGAGAGUAAUGGAAGAAAUGUUAAUCUUUUUAGAGGAACGAGAGAAUGCGGAGUCAGAAUAUAUACAACAGGU
Protopterus annectens (West African lungfish) is the source of this 240-nucleotide long non-coding RNA. RefSeq lists it as uncharacterized. The transcript has 3 exons. Lineage: Eukaryota; Metazoa; Chordata; Ceratodontiformes; Protopteridae. The record is from RefSeq and is a predicted model, not a curated record.